GUUCGGAUUGUAGUCUGCAACUCGACUACAUGAAGCUGGAAUCGCUAGUAAUCGCGAAUCAGAAUGUCGCGGUGAAUACGUUCCCGGGUCUUGUACACACCGCCCGUCACACCAUGGGAGUCAGUAACGCCCGAAGCCGGUGACCUAACCGAAAGGGAGGAGCCGCCGAAGGUGGGACCGAUAACUGGGGUGAAGUCGUAACAAGGUAUC
RNAcentral lists this ribosomal RNA (210 nucleotides) under uncultured bacterium. Its description in RNAcentral is "partial 16S ribosomal RNA". It matches the Rfam family "Bacterial small subunit ribosomal RNA", at positions 1291 to 1500 of the family's 1533-position model. The record is from RNAcentral.